UCAGACACGUCAGAGUUUGAUCCUGGCUCAGGAUGAACGCUGACAGAAUGCUUAACACAUGCAAGUCGACUCGAGUCUUCGGACUUGGGUGGCGCACGGGUGAGUAACGCGUAUCCAACCUGCCCGCGAGUAGGGGAUAACCCGCAGAAAUGCGGACUAAUACCCUAUAUAGUCCAAAGAUGCCAUCAGAUUUGGACGAAAGAUUUAUCGCUCGCGGAUGGGGAUGCGUCUGAUUAGCUUGUUGGCGGGGUAACGGCCCACCAAGGCAUCGAUCAGUAGGGGUUCUGAGAGGAAGGUCCCCCACAUAGGAACUGAGACACGGUCCUA
This 327-nucleotide ribosomal RNA is filed under the name uncultured bacterium. RNAcentral describes it as "bacterial SSU rRNA". It matches the Rfam family "Bacterial small subunit ribosomal RNA", at positions 1 to 334 of the family's 1533-position model. The record is from RNAcentral.